CCAUCUGUAAAAUGGUAAUUUCUAAUGCACAAAUUACACGCAACUCUAAACCUGCAAAAUUAUAUUACUUUCAAAAUUAAAAACUUGGCGAUCUGCAUCAUCUCUUCACACUUUCUGUUUCUCCAUUGCUCUCACAUCCUCAAUUACUCUUUGUUUCUGUUGUAACCAGCUCUUAAUGAGAUUUCCAUUGGCGGGUUGGAG
Molecule: unclassified non-coding RNA, 201 nt
Filed under: Hevea brasiliensis (rubber tree)
Lineage: Eukaryota; Viridiplantae; Streptophyta; Magnoliopsida; Malpighiales; Euphorbiaceae
Source: RNAcentral